AUGCCGUUGGACGUGUUGGUGGACAUUGCGGUGCGCACGGACCCGGCCACCCUCGUGCGCUGUGCCGCCACGUGCAUGGACCGCGUCAAGGAAUACAUCAGCCUCCACGGCCCCCUCUGCCUCCAGCAGGGAGACCGCUUCGUGCUCCCCCUCCUACGCGGCAAUCUGAUCUACCAGUCCCACGGCUGGCCCAAGCCCGAGGAGGAGCUGUUUCUGGUGGACACCAGCGUGCCGGAUGCCACCAAGCUGCGCACGGCUAGCCGCGGAGGCUUUCCCCUCUCGUCACGUGAUGGUCUUGUCCUCGCCCGUGUAGGCUUGGCACAAGAGCUCCGCGUGUGCGACCCGGCCACCGGCAGGAGUCUCACCCUACCAUCCGAACAGGCGUUCCCAAGAACGACUGGGGUAAAUUAUGUCGUGCUCGUCCGUGGCGAUGAUAAGGGGGCCACCUCCGUUGGCCGGCAUUUUCAAGUGGUCAAGGCAUAUCUAGAGAUGUCACAGUACAGCGGCAACCUGCAGCUCCAGACCUUCUCAUCGGAGCAUGGCGUGUGGGGCCUCUACACCAACAACUAUCUACCUAACCUAUUUGGCAACCACUUGCAACAAAGCCUCGGCAAGGCCCUGGUCACCGGCAGCACUGUCCACUGGUUGUGCUAG
Molecule: ribosomal RNA, 654 nt
Filed under: Triticum aestivum (bread wheat)
Lineage: Eukaryota; Viridiplantae; Streptophyta; Magnoliopsida; Poales; Poaceae
Description: partial small subunit ribosomal RNA
Source: RNAcentral